This 498-nucleotide ribosomal RNA is filed under the name uncultured bacterium. Its description in RNAcentral is "partial 16S ribosomal RNA". It matches the Rfam family "Bacterial small subunit ribosomal RNA", at positions 30 to 523 of the family's 1533-position model. The record is from RNAcentral.
AUUGAACGCUGGCGGCAUGCCUUACACAUGCAAGUCGAACGGUAACAGGUCUUCGGAUGCUGACGAGUGGCGAACGGGUGAGUAAUGCAUCGGAACGUGCCCAGUAGUGGGGGAUAGCCCGGCGAAAGCCGGAUUAAUACCGCAUACGACCUGAGGGUGAAAGGGGGGGAUCGCAAGACCUCUCGCUAUUGGAGCGGCCGAUGUCAGAUUAGCUAGUUGGUGGGGUAAAGGCCUACCAAGGCAACGAUCUGUAGUUGGUCUGAGAGGACGACCAGCCACACUGGGACUGAGACACGGCCCAGACUCCUACGGGAGGCAGCAGUGGGGAAUUUUGGACAAUGGGCGCAAGCCUGAUUCAGCAAUGCCGCGUGCAGGAAGAAGGCCUUCGGGUUGUAAACUGCUUUUGUCAGGGAAGAAAUCUUCUGGGUUAAUACCUCGGGAGGAUGACGGUACCUGAAGAAUAAGCACCGGCUAACUACGUGCCAGCCGCCGCAGUAA